RNAcentral lists this ribosomal RNA (451 nucleotides) under uncultured bacterium. Its description in RNAcentral is "bacterial SSU rRNA". It matches the Rfam family "Bacterial small subunit ribosomal RNA", at positions 354 to 796 of the family's 1533-position model. The record is from RNAcentral.
GUGGGGAAUUGUUCGCAAUGGGCGAAAGCCUGACGACGCAACGCCGCGUGGAGGAUGAAGAAUUUCGGUUCGUAAACUCCUUUCGACCGAGAUGAAUACCCAUGGACCUAACACGUCUGUGGGCUGACAGUAUCGAGAGAAGAAGCCCCGGCUAACUCUGUGCCAGCAGCCGCGGUAAUACAGGGGGGGCAAGCGUUGUUCGGAAUUACUGGGCGUAAAGGGUUCGUAGGUGGCCAACUAAGUCAGACGUGAAAUCCCUCAGCUUAACUGGGGAACUGCGUCUGAUACUGGUUGGCUUGAGUGCAGGAGAGGAAUGCGGAAUUCCAGGUGUAGCGGUGAAAUGCGUAGAUAUCUGGAGGAACACCGGUGGCGAAGGCGGCAUUCUGGACUGUAACUGACACUGAGGAACGAAAGCCAGGGGAGCAAACGGGAUUAGAAACCCCAGUAGUCC